AAACCCAUUCACUUUUCAAAACAUCAAUAGACCCACUAUAUCACAUCCCACUUAUUUUUAAACCCAAAUGUACAAUACACCCAUUAUUUGUACUGUAUUUAUCCAAAAAAUUUGAAAAAUCCUAAACUACCCUUCAUCCCCAACUGAUCUCUCCCUCUCCCCUCCUCCUCCAUCUGAGCUCAGAAGAGAUCUCUCCCUCUCCCCUCCUCCUCCUCUUCCCUCCCUUCACUUCCCCUCCUCCCUCAAGCCCAUCAACCUCUGCAUCCACUGCCCCUAUCUCCCCUCGCCGCCACGUCACCCACCACCGUCGACCUUGAAGUAGAUGAAUAGCCCACCAAUGAUUUCGACAUUGACUCCCUGUAGUUCGCCCAUCAACCUGAAGCACUUGUCAUUGCCGCCAGUGGACGGAGCUUGAGGAGCACUCGGAGUAAUGGCGGAGGUCGAAGACCGCUUGGCUUUGUAAGGAGCUGCUUUCGCAUAAGCCGACGACGAUGGUGAGGAUCCUUGGCGCUCAAAGGAAGUGGGUUCGGCAGAAGGAGGUGGGUUAUGUUGUUCUCCAUUGCAAGUCAGCCUGUCCGUGAUCGCUUCAAAAAUAACGCUGAUGCCAAAAAGCUAUUGGAAAAAGUGAAGGAGCGUAGAUUGUAACAUUUUUAUGGUGGGAUACAUAUAUUCCAUCAUCAAUGGCACACCUAACGUAACGCACAGCUACCCCUCAAUCAGAAACCAUUCGUCAAUGCACACUAACUUUCCAAUCAAAUACAUGAGAGAAUCCCCCACUAUUGGCAUUCGAUCAGAUCUUCGCAUUGCUGUCACAUUGCAACCCAAACGGCAAAUCAACUACAGCCUGCAAUAUGAUGUACCAAGUAGUAUCCAAUGUAUCGUGUUGUAUGAAAUUUUCUAUAUUAUGUAUAUAUAGAUGAUUUGUGUGCAUAUUGUAUCAAAUGCACUAUCCAAUGUAUCAUGUUGUAUCAAAUUUAUCAGUGUAACUAGUAGAAAUGUAUCUAGUAGAAA
This is a long non-coding RNA of Asparagus officinalis (garden asparagus), 1011 nucleotides long. RefSeq lists it as uncharacterized. The record is from RefSeq and is a predicted model, not a curated record. The transcript has 3 exons. NCBI's taxonomy places the organism in Eukaryota, Viridiplantae, Streptophyta, Magnoliopsida, Asparagales, Asparagaceae.